This is a long non-coding RNA of Panthera uncia (snow leopard), 12663 nucleotides long. RefSeq lists it as uncharacterized. NCBI's taxonomy places the organism in Eukaryota, Metazoa, Chordata, Mammalia, Carnivora, Felidae. The transcript is spliced from 2 exons. The record is from RefSeq and is a predicted model, not a curated record.
CUUGUUGCAGUUAACUGACAGUUCCCCAGGAUGCCACAGCCUUGAAGGUUUUUAGCUCCUCGUCUGUCUUUGCAACACUACCCAUGUUCUAAAUCUUGAAGAUUUCAGUGUCCAUGAGAAAAUGACAUUAGAAAAAAUUGCCCAAGAAGGUGAGGGAGCUAGUUAUAUAAUUAUCUUAGGGAAAGUGUAAUGGGCUGAGGGAACAAGUGCAAAGACUGAAGCAGAGCAUGCUUGGUGUGCUGAAGAACCGCAAAAAGGCCAUUAUGGCUGGAGAAAAGCCAGGGACAAAGGAGGAGAUAAAGUCUGAAAACAGAGCUGGGUCAUAUAGGGCCUCUAUGCCAUUGGAAGGCAUACCAGAUCAUAAGAUUUUUCUAGCAGAUUUAUCCUUCACUGUAUUUCAGGCUCUCUGAUGAUCAUGUCCUAAACCUUGUCUGUAUCCAUAAUUAUAGGCCUAUCUUUUUUUUCUCGGUUUUAGUAUUCAUAUUCUCUGAAUUACCAUUUAUGGUCAUUCCAAUUUUACUCUCCCUGAUUUCAGUGAUUCUUCAACCCCACCAGGGCCUACAAUCCAUUGAUCUUUUAUCAUUUUUUAUUGACUCCGCCUCCCACCACUCCCUGUUCUUCCUUACUCCCUUAUCAAAAUUAUAUUCAUCAGCCCUUCAUCAGGAUCACCCUGUUGUAGUCACUCAUCCUUUGUCUCUCUCUCUCUCAUUUUGUGUACUCUCUUGACAAAAGUCUCAACCCCAGCUAAACCAGCUCUCCACACUUAAACGUUUUUUUCUCCCAUAUUAAACAAAUUGUUUAAAAUAAAAACUUUUGGCCUCCAUUAGAAAUGGUGGAGGCUGGGGCGCCUAGGUGGCUCAGUCAGUUGAGCGUCCAGCUUCAGCUCAGGUCAUGAUCUCACAGUUCGUGGGUUCGAGCUCUGCGUCAGGCUCUGUGCUGACAACUCAGAACCUGGAGCCUGCUUCGGAUUCUGUGUCUCCCUCUCUCUCUGCCCCUCCCGUGCUUGCGCUCUGUCUCUCUCACAAAAAUAAAUAAACAUUAAAAAAAAAAUUUUUUUUUUUUUUUGAAAGAAAUGGUGGUGGCUGGAGAGCUGGCUCCAGCUACCACCCAUUUCCUUUUUUCCUUUUUAAAGCAAAAUUCCUGUCAGAGCCAUAUAUUAUAACAAUGAUAACAAUAAAUAACAUUUAUUACGCACUUGCUGUGUGCCAGGCAUUGUUCCAGAUAUUUUACAUAUAUUAAUCUUGUUUUAUUCUCAUAGCAGUCCAAUGAGGUAAAAAAAAAAAAAAAAAAAUACCACUUUUUACAAUGAGAAAAAGGCAUGAAGAACUUAGUUUCCCAACUACUUGCUGACAAAUAGUGAUCCUGGAAUUAAAAUCCAGGCAGUCUGUCAUCAGAGCCUGUGCUCUCAACUAGACCAAAGCAAAGCAAAUUAUGUUCUAAAUCUCAGUUCUCAGACACAUUAGCAGCACACUCCAGUUUCCAAGAAUGAGUGUAUCCUACCCCAAUCCUCAUUCCUCCUGAGCAGUAUUGUAGUAAGUUCUGGCUGCAAAGCCACGAUAUAAUAAUGUGGAGUUUUCAUGUAACCAGAAGGUUCAAAGUGAUUACUUUUAGGCAAAGGACUCUCUCUUGCAACAUUUUGACUUUAGCCUUUUUUGGUUUCCUUGUGCUUUGCAUUUCUCUCUUGCCUCUCCUGUAAAUUCAUCGGUAAGAGGCUUAAGGCUGCCUCUCUGGUAGAAGCUCAUGCUCAUAGUAUGCCAAACAGGAACCAGAUGGGGAAAAGGAGUUAAAGGAGAGACUUUUCUGAUCCUGAUCUCUAGUUCAGGGGGGGAAAAAAAAAAGAAUACCUGAGCUGCAUCAGAUUAGUAAUAAACAAGAUUUCUUUGUCUGAAUUGCCCCCUUUUCAGUUGCUGCUUUGGAAUAUGUGGUGGCAGAUUUUAAUCCAAAAAAAAAAAAAAAUUAGGGACUUUGCACUAUUUGUCAAAGAGGAGGGGAAAAAAACCUAAUGACAUGAUUUUAAAUUCGUCAAUUGGAGUUGUUUUCUCUAGACCCUAAUCUAAUAUUCCCAGAGAACUUCUUACUCAAAGAACUUCCUAUGAUACAUUAUUAAUUUGUCAAUUCUUUCUUAAAUCGUCUUUGGGGAGAGAGCAAUUCAGUUAAACAUUUAGUAUAUUUUUUUAAAUAACUACUGACUUAGAAAAUUUUAGAAAGUAAAUCAUCAAAAUCAGUUUUAAGAAGAGGGAAACAUCAGAAUCACUCUAGAAUGCCUUUCUCAUUGGCAGAGGUCACAUGCCCCUUCCUAAACAAUUGCUGGCAAGGAGAAAGGGUUUCUAUGAUUGGCUUUUCCUUUUCUGGAAGGAAGGUUGUGGAGUCAGCCACCAUCCAAAAGAGGAUUUGUUUCUUAUUUGAUUUUCGUUUGGUUGGUUUUUUGGUUCCUUUUUGAAAGUUAUCCUCAUGUUAGAAAUAGUUUAAAAUUCCCACUCUAAAGAACAGGCAAGCUUUUCCCAGCCAUGUUGUUGCCCAUCCCAACCGUCCCCAUACCCAUUAUAUAUAGUAUGUAUAGUGUAUAUAAUUCUGCCUCUCUGUAACCAUGUUUUAAUUAUAUUCAAUUUGCAAAAAUGUUAAAAUUUUAUUCACAGUGAAAGGUCUAAUCUGUUGAAGGGAACUGAUGUUGAUGUGAAAUCACUAGAAGAGAAUAAAAAAAGAAUCGACCUACAAACGACCGUGGCAAAAUGAAGUUCUAAACAUUUCCCAAGUGAUUACUUUUUACUGUGGAAGUUUUAUUUCCCAGAAAGCAUAAAGCUGAAUAGUCUUGCCAAACCAGCUGAAGCUUAAUGAACAAACUCUAUUGGCCCUUUAAUAAUAAUAUCUGAACCGUUUAUCUCUUCAGUUCUAAAAAUGCAUAUAAGUUGGCAGAGAUUUGACUUAAGAGUUUUAAGUCCUAUAUAUAGCUUUUGGGUGACAUGAUCUCUUUUUCUAGACAUCUGUCUGCCUCAGGGCUUUGGUCUAAUUACUUUUAGUAAAUAAACUAUUUUCAUAUAAAUGGUUUAAAGAAGAGCAAUAUUACUAGGAUUAUGAAGACCAAGAGUAUAAUGUUACAGUCUAAAAACCCAAGGUUUUACUGUGAUACUAAAUGUUUAACUGAAUUGCUAUCUCCCCAAUUGUACCUGUGUUGGAUGUUGCCACUUUUCUAUUGCUGGAAAGGGCCUUUUACAAAAGCAUGUUCAACGUGAAUACUAAUCCUUAUAGCAAGUCCUUCAGGUUAAUGCCAAUAGUGUGCAUGAGGACAAAAUCGUAUUUAUACCAUGUAAUACUCCAGAGGGAUUAGGUACUGAGCAGCAGCUGUAGAGAAAAAGAUGAUAGGUCUGACAAGACAGAACAGGCUAGAGAGUCUGAUUUCUGAAAGUGGAGAUCAGAGAGUAGAACUAGCACUAGGAAGUAUUAGGAGAUUUCAGCUUAGAGCAGUUUCAGUCCAAACCCAGUGGGUAUGCUUAAAGAGCCAACCAGGAAAAAAAACGAAAACAAAACCAAAAAAUCUUUGCUUCCUUAUAUGGACUUACGGAGGUAUUCUGGGAAAAAAGCAUGUUGAAACUCCUUCAGGAAGGAAGAGGACUUCUGAUUCAAGAGUCAUUCUGUUUCUGUGCCUUUGCCACCAGUUUUCACACAACUGCUUUCUCUGAUACUACACUGUCAGAGACACCCAACUGAUAGUUGGCUUUUUCUUUUACUGAAUAAAUACAACUUUUUCCCCGACCAUAAGAAAGAAGAAAACUAUGAGAUAGAAGAUCUGUUUCCAUGGCUUUAAAAAAAAAAAAAAAAAAAAGGGUAGUAUUUCCCACUGUGUUCAAUUGAUGAUGGUGAAAGGAGGAGAAGGAGGAUGACAAUGAGAAAGGCAUUUUGAAGUUUAGUGGCUGUUAGGGGAAGGAAGUUGAGAAUAGUGGAAAGAAUACUAAACCAAGUAUCGUAACUUGAUUUUUAGGUCUGGGUUGUUCCCUACUUUAGCCAAACAUAAGACUCUGAAUUCAUAUUAGUUUUAGUUUCUCUAUCAAUAGAAGUAGACUAUAUGAUCUCUUGCCCUUCUACCUCUAAAAUUCUGUAAUUAUGACAGCAAGUAUCUACACUAAUGCCUGAGCAGUAUCGAGAAUAUGAAAAACAGUAUAUAGAGCGAGGUGUCCUUUUAUAAUUAAGUUUAUGCCUAGUUAUAAUUGGUUUAUGGAACAAAAUUUUUUCCCAGACCCACUGUACCUCAGAAAGGAUUGAACAGUUCAUUCUGGCAAAGAAAAGGCAAAACUGUUAGCACAUCAUACUGCCACAUGAAGGCUAACAAUUAGACACAAAGCCAGACAAAAUCGCAAGGAGAGCCAUAAAUAAAAGAGAGUCUUAAUGUGAUUUAAAUACCGUGACUGAGUUGCAUUCAGUGUUAGCCUGGUCACCAAGUCCAAUGCGACAUUAUCCUCUAUAGAGAUGUAUUCUAGCAAAAGACUUCUGCAUCCGCCAUCUGGCCCUUGACUCAGGGAGCACAUCUCACUGAAUGACACAUAACCCAGUGGGAUGCACCAAAUUUGCUUAAACAUGAGCACAUCCUCUUCUCAUAACAAAGGCUGGAUAUGACCCUAAUUUUAUAUUCUAUAAACUAUGUUGAGGAAAUUAUUAAAACAACAGUCUUCUGGGGAGGCCUGUAACCAUCUACUGAUCAUGUUUUCUUUGUCACAGCCACAGUUUCAAGAAAUACUGUAAAUUUCAGCUUAAAUUGAGAAGCAAAUUAGAUGUGCUUUAAAUUUAAAAAUUCGUUAUGAAUUUAGAAGUAAAAAAGUGAACUGUUUGUGACUAGAUGAUCUGACCUUACAAACACAAGAAUUUGAGCAGAGUUCCAAAAGUUAGAGUUUGUGUUCUCUGUGAACAGCCUUCAGGGAAUUGUGCCAGAGGAGCUCUACUUAAGAGAAAUUUCUCUGAGGUUCUGAUUUUUUUUUAGUUUAUACCUUAAACUGUGAUUUCAGACCUAUUCCAGAAUAAAGGCAAUCACAUCCAGUAUUUCCUGUCUCUAAGAUAGAGUCUACUGCACUGCUUGUAUUUUAUAUUACUUGAGAAUUAUUUUCCUUUAGAAGGAACAGUAUGAUUUGCCUAAAUGGACAGUAUUUUUUUUUCUUUUUAAGUAUAUCUUUGGCAUUCCUCAGAGUGUUAAAUAUUUUAUUGGCUAUUGGGAGGAAAGGAUUCUCUAUUAUGUAAAUGGCACCCCAAACCUACAGAUCCCAAGUUAAUACUGAAGACUUUUUGUUAGUCUCUGGUGCCCUUUCUGGUAAAGAUAAAUGCUAAAGAAGGGGCAGUAUGUGGAAAUAGGAAUAAAACUAAAAUGACCAUUUUUCUUCCAAGUUAUAUAACACUAUAAUGCUUUGUUGCAAUAAUAUGAGGAAACCUUAUGCAAGAACUGAGCUGUGAUUAAUAGAAGCAAAAAGAAGUAGAAACAUCAUUCCCUAAACACAGCAAACUCAAAUAGGAAGGAAAAUAGUCUUUUAAAUGAGAAGCAAAAAGUCGUAUGGAAGUGUUGAAUCAUUAUAUUGUACACCUGAAACUAAUAUUACACUGUCUAUUAACUAACUGGAACUUAAGUAAAAACUUUUUGAAAGUUCAAAGUGAUAUGAGAAGGAAAUGUUAAUGCUAAUGCCAAUAUCAUGUGAACUGUUAAUUAGAAAGUAAAGUGGAAAUGGAGCGUGUGACUAAUAAAGUAAAUACCAUGAAAUUCUGGGGAAAGCCUAGUUAAGCUGGACUUCUUCAGGGCUACAGCACUGAGGGGAUUUUCUCAUGUUUCACGAAUUGACCCAAAUUAUUAUGGAGUCAAAUGAUAGUGGAGUCCCUAUCAUGAAGGGUAGUGAAAUGAAUGAAGACUGAAAGAGAGCAUCAUAAUGCUGACGUUGUCAGAUGUCCAGUCACGUGGACUUGCGAACCUGGCAAAUUGCUGAAAUUAGUAUGGGGGAAGAAAUCUUAAGUUAUAAACUAAUUUAAAAAUGAGAGCAAUAAGCUAGGCAAUGGCAGUUUUAACAUAUUUUAAGAACUGAACCUAUUCAUCCAGUUUAGUACCAGGCCCUAAGCUUCUGCCUCGAGUGUAUGGCCCACCUGAAUAUUAAGGGCCAUUAUAUGGAAGAUGAUGACCAGCUGUUCUCUUUCUCCCCUGAGUUCCAAACAAUAAGAAAUGGGCAUAAGCUUUGGUGUGAAGGAUUUAGGCAAAGAAUGAGGAAGAAUAUUGUAAAUUGAAGUGCAUUACUGAGUGAAUUUCAUUCUAUGGAAGUCUUUUAAAAAGUCAUUACUGUCACUCAAAACACUUACAGUCUGUCUGUGACAUACAUAGGUAGCCCUACAGUAAGAGAUGUGAAUAAUUACACAACAAUUAGAACGUCUUUGAGCUGGAGAGUAAUCAGCCCAAACACCAAGUAAUGCAAGAGAGAAGCAUGAAAACACAUAACCACAAAAACGAGAGAGAGAGAGAGAGACAUGUAUAGAUCAACAUAAUGACAGCAUUUAGCUAAUUAAACUCUCUGGAAAUGUUCUGACUGCUUUUGGAAAGCAAAGAAGUCUUCAUUUUUAGCUUUGUCAGUUGACAUAAUUUUGAAUUGAGUCUGAUUCUCAUUGGCAUCUAUGAUCUAUGUAUACAGUUUCUGGAACAGCCUUUUCCUGGAGAAAAUUUUCAAACAAACAUUUGGCAUCAGUGGAAUAUUUUUUAUCACACCAUCAGUAUUUUUCAUUGUACAGCCUUUGACUUCCAGAAGAUUCAAGCUGUCUUAGAGUCUCUGAGAACCCUAGGGCAUUAGAUGAAUGCCAGGUAUGUUACACUGAGAGAUUAGAUCCCAGGGAACUGGAAUUCUGAGAACUAGGAUGCCUGACUGAGAUUGAACUAUCUAUGUAUCCUGGUAUAGAUACAGAAAGAUAUUAGUGGUAUUUUAGAUUAGAAUUUUUAGACUUCAUCCAAACAACCUGUUAAAAGCCACGUUCUCUUGUACCUGUGAAACCAUAGAUUCAGUGUAAGAAUAAUGCGUUCAAGAAGAUUUAGUCCGAUGCAGUGGUGUGCUAAUGUUUAAUUCCUGGUUUUCCGGGCAAGGAGUGUGUGGUUUUGGGGGGUGGAGGAUUGGAAGCAGAGGUGGUAAGCAGGUAUCUGAUUUGUAGCAUUGGCCAAUUUCUGUGAUACAAAUGCCCCCACCACGGCCAACUGCAAGCUACUAAAAUGACAUCAGUGAAAACAGAGUUGGGAAGAGGUUGCCUCUCGUUAUUCCUGCACAUGAGUGGUCCUACAUCAGGUAUACGUAAAACACCAAAGUUCAAAAAUCUCACUCUGUGUCAUUCAGUGGCAAUCAGCAUUGUCAUCAUGAAGUACAACUUCUCGCUUCCACCUUCUGGCAAAUGGUCUGAAAGCAUACCUUACAAACACGUGGCUUCUCCAUCUGAGAGCUGUGAUUUUUUUUUUUUUUAAUUUUUAUUUACUUUUGUGAGAAAGGGAGACACAGCAUGAGCAGGGGAGGGGCAGAGAGAGAGGGAGACACAGAAUCUGAAACAGGCUCCAGGCUCUGAGCUGUUAGCACAGAGCCCGAUGCAGGGCUCGAACCCACGGACCGUGAGAUCACGACCUGAGCCGAAGUCAGAUGCUUAACCGACUGAGCUGCCCAGGUGCCCCGAGAGCUGUGAUUUUUAAAUCCUACUAAAGACUUUAUUAUUUAACAUAAGACUCCCCUAUGAUACUGCUCUUUUUAGCAGUUCUAAUUGCUAUAAACAGCAAAUGAAAUGUUUAUAGGUCAACAGAACCAAUUCUUAGGAGCAGUAAGCACAACCUUCAGAAUAGAAAAAUAGUUUGGGAGGCAUGUUUUAUUUUGGAUUUUAGUAUUUUUGGUGUUAAAAAGACUGAUAACACACUGAGAAACAGUAAUUAUCAUUCAACAUGAGCCUGGCUGGAAACACAUUGCAUAGCAGUUCAAGAAUUUAUUUGCUUAUUUUUGGAAACAGUAGAACUAUUACAUUAACCUAUCAGUUUAUGGUCAUCUCCUCCUUUUUUCUUUUUUUAAGUGUCUCAAUUUUUUUUUUUUUAAUGUUUAUUUUGAGAGAGUGAGAGAGCAUAGGGGAGGGGUGGGGAGAGGAGAGUGAGAGAGAAUCUCAAGCAGGGUCCAUGGUGUCAGCGCAGAGCCCAGUGGAGGGCUUGAACUCAGGAAUGGUGAGAUCAUGACCCAAGCCAAAUUCAAGAAUUGGAGGCUUCAACCAACUGUGCUACCCAGGUGCCCCCUCCUCCUUUCUUCAUUCUCUGACCUACACAUAGUUUUGUAAACCCAAGAUACAUGUGUCUCAUCCCUUUUGUCUCUCUGUGAAAAUAAGAAUUGUAAAAUUGUAAUGGCAUUGCCCUCCCCUGUGCCAGAAUUCCCAGAUGCCUCGUGUUCCUGACCGAGUAAUUCAUUUACUUAUGAAUUCCUGCUCUUUGUAUUUAAAAGACAAAACCACUUGGCAAAAACCCUUCUGAACUUUCAGAGAGAAAGCAAAUGGAUUCUUAGGACACAGUCAUUCCAAUCAUGCCAUGGUUAAUAUUCAUUCUAAACUGUUGAUAACAUUUAGGAUAACACCUAUAUUGCUAUUUUCAGUGAACUUUCACAUGUAUGUCCUUCCCAUUACAUAAUACUGAGUAACAUUAUUGGUAACAUGAAAUGUCACUGUCCAGUCUUAGAGCCUCUGCCAAUAAUUAAUAUGUAUUUAUUCAAUAAGUAGGUGAUAGGUGCUUUCUGUGGUGAGCCAUUAUGGAGUCUGUCAAGAUGAAUUAAGACCAGUCCAUUAGUAUUUGACUUAAAUUGGGCAGGGGUUAGAAAUGCUUGCACGUAUUUAAACUAUAUGAAAUUCUUAUUUUCUGUCAUCACUGGGAGAGAAUUUAAGCUCAAAUAGGUCAUCACCAUGGCCCUAAUAAAAUUUUUGUUGUUGCUAGGUUGGUUGGUUUGGUUGUAUUUCUUUUUUUUUUUUUUUUUCGAUAAUUGUUUAAUAUAAACAAUAAUUCAAUCACAGUUGACAAACACAUGAAUAAGUCAGUGAACUGUAUGUGCCUGCCACACAUCUAAGGUCAUUCCCAAGAUAUACUUCUUCAGUGAAUUUUUCCCUGACAGUAACAGUUAAUGACAGUGUGACCCCAAUCAUCUUAAUUGCUGAGAGUUAGCACAGUUAUUCUGCAUUGCUAUUGGCUAAUGAAUCAGAUUCAUUGGCUGGUUCUGACAGGGCUGACAUAACAUGUCACUGACUAAGUGACAGUUCUAGAAGAGGACAGGAAGAAGUAUGAGGAGGGAAGCAAACGUUCGUCAGUACACUAAGACAAACUAGCACAACACCACAAUCUGUGCUGAAGCAGGAAAUGAAAAAACACACAGAGGGCCUCCUGAUCAUUUGCCUUAACAUCACAUUUUUAUUCUCUCAUAUUCAGAAGGAAAAAAAAUAGUGGUAGAAUGAUAUUUCUGAAUCUGUCAUUUAUAAAUUGUAGUUUGGGAGAAAUUGAAAUAAGUUACAUGGGGGUGAGGAAGAGACAAAUGAGAUCUUAAUAAUUAUUAAGUUGGAGUGGACCAGGGGGAAGCAUCAGAAGGUAAGUAGAAAUACAGAAGUAAAUUGGGUGUUUCCACCAAAUACCAAGCCAUAUAUCUAAGGAGAGACCAUCACUUCUUAUUCACGAUGUAAUUAAGUGGAACCAUGUGAAACUGCUGAUAGUCAACCAUCUUUGACCUACAAAAAUGGUCAUGGGUGUGGUUUGACCUAUAAACUAUUGGAAACAAGGUAUAUUUGUAAAAUAUAUUUUAAAAAGCACACUGAAUUAUCCCAUGGCUUGUUACAGAGAACAAGAGAAACAAUAAUCCAAAAAAAAAAAGUUAGUUUUUUAAAAACACUAUAGUCAACUCCUUAACGUCAAAUACCUAUGGGUUUUUAAUCCAAAAUACUCUAUAUGCUUGGGGAUGAUGUUUGCAAGGGUUUUUUUGGAAAGAAAAUAAGCUAGUUAAGAAGGCAUUUUCUAUUAGCUCCAAAGGAAUGUAACACCAGGCAGUGUUUUUCAUUUUUAAGGAUCUGAAGGACGCUAACUAUAGGAAAGAUCAAGAACAGUCACGUGCUGGUCCUCCACCACCCUAUAGCAAGCAGUCCAUGGAUGUCUGCAAGCAAGCAUUGGGGCCUGGCUGUGCCAUCCUUACCCUGGCCCACCCCUGGGCACAAGUGGGAUGUGGACUCUGAACAGAACCACCAGUGUAUUAUUUCUGCCACUUCUCAUCCAUCAUUUCUGGGUCAUUUGAGACCAGCUUUCUGUGUUUGCUAACAGAUCUUUUUAUAUAUAUAUAUACAUAUAUAUAUAUAUAGGAAUAUCAUAUAUAUAUACACACAUAUAUAUCAUCCAGCCUUAUAAAGGAGACUCUGCCAUUUGCAACGACACAGAUGAACCCGAAGAGGACGUUAUACCAAGUGAAAUAAGCCAGACACAGAAAAAUACUGCAUGAUCUUAGUUACAUGUGGAGCCUAGAAUAGUAGCCCCCCUGGUUACCACGUGGGGAAAAUAGGGAGAUGUUGGUUAAAGGAUAUAAAAUUGCAGUCUACAGGAUGAAUGAGGAAAGCUAAUGUACAACAUUAUGACUGUAGCUAGUAAUACUGUAUUGAAAACGAAAUCUAAGAAAAUAGAUUUCACAUGCUCUGACCACACACAACACACACACACAGGUAACUGUAGGAGGAGAUGGAUAUGUUAAUUUGCUUGACUCUAGUAUCCUAUCAUUACAUAUAUCAAAACACCAAGUUGUACAUCUUAAAUAUAUACAAUUAAAUGAUAAAACAGGAACAAUGUUUUUAGCCUUGAAACUGAAGUUUGAGCAGGGCUCGGUAGGGAAGCACUCUUCCUUCUCCCAGUUAGUGUUAACUAGGGCUGCUCAGUGUUGAAUCUACAGAAGGCUCAUUCAUUCAUGUGUCUGGUGGUUAAUACUAGCUGUCAGCUUUAGCUGGGCUGUUGCCUUGAACAUCAUCAUGUAGCCUCUCCAUAUGUUCUGGGCAUUUUUCCAAAAUGGUGGCUCUCACCAUUUAUCACUCACGCCAAGUUUAAUUGUCUCAAGAAAGAGCUGGGUGGAAACCAUCACCUUUUCUCCUUACUCUGCAGCUUAGCAAGUAGCCUUGAAAAUAACGACCCACAUUCUAGGUACCUCAGGGAGCAGAGUGGACUCCAUUCACAAAGAAUUGUCAUUACUUUAACUGUCUGGUGGCUCUGUGGGAAAACAAAUAGAAGCUUUACCUGUUCGUACCUCAGAAUUCCUCCAGUGCUACAGCUGCUGCACAGGUGGGGUUUGUUGAAAUAUUUACAGGGAAAUAUUUUAGUUGCUGCUGCAAGGGGUGAUAACAGGGCAAACAGUAUAUUGAUGAAAAAGCUUGGAAGAAAAGACUGAGAAAUACAGUGUCCAUAAAGGCUUUGAAAAGUUCUUGACAUGGACAUUUAGAAGGCCACACACAUGCACAGGGCUGUGUGCAUGCUUAGGAAGGCCCGAGAAGGCCCUAAGCUAUCCCCUCUGGCUGACCUUGAGGCUCUAUAAAAGCAGAAAGUGAAACCUAAGGCACAGUUGUAAACUGCCUGAUUGAGUACUGAAGGUAUGCCUCAACCCACACAUCAAGCCCCUUGGCAAAAGCCAGUAUUUUGUGGGUUCCAGGCAUUUAAGGAAAUCUCUGUGCAAUUAACUGAUCACUAAGCCAACUAAGAAAUUGCAGUGGUUUCACAUAGGAAGGGAUACAGCUUUACAGGAUUAGUUCGGAAAAGCCACUAAAUAACAGACCCUAAGAUGAGAGAAAGAAACCCAGAUUUGCCACAUAAUAAUAUAUCCAUUUCUCUAAAAACAGUGCAUGCUAUGAAACAAAGUAUGACUCCUCAAAAAAAAAAAAAAAAUAGCCAAUAGGAAGUGUCCAGGAAAAGCCCAGGUAUUGGACUUUGUAGACAAAAGUCUCAAAUCAGCUAUUUUUUUUUAAAUGUUUAUUCAUUUUUGAGAGGGAGAGCACAAGCAGGGGAGGGGCAGAGAGGGAGAGAGACACAGAAUCUGAAGCAGGCCCCAGGCUCCGAGCUGUCAGCACAGAGCCUGGUGUAGGGCUCGAACCCACGAGCCAUGAAAUCAUGACUUGAGCUGACUGCUAAGAUGCUCAACUGACUGGGCCACCCGGGCACCCCAUUUUUUUUAAUGUUUAUUUAAAAUUUUUGAGAGUGCCCAAGUGGGGUAUGGACAGAGAGAAUCCCAAGAAGGCUCCAUGCUGUCAGUGCAGAGCCCAACGCGGGACUCCAUCUCAUGAACUGUGAAAUGAUGACCUGAGCCAGUAUCAAGAGUAGGACACUUAAUCAACUGAGCCACCCAGACACCCCUCAAGUCAGCAAUAUUAAAAAUGUUCAAAGGAAGUCCCAUUUAAAGAACUAAAGUAUCAGAAUGAUGUCUCACAAAUAGAGACUAUUAAUACAUAGAAAUUAUAAGUAAAUGGAAAUUUUAAAGUUGGAGAGCAUAAUAAAAAUCCACUUGAAUGGCUCAACAGAUUUAAGCUAGAAGAAUGAAUCAGAAAGAUUCAAUAGAAAUCAGUAAUAGAAGGAAAGUUGGGAAAUUCACAAAUAUGUGGAAAUAAACACAUUUCUAAACCAAUUUACACAAAACUGUAAAGGAAAUUAUAAAA